UACGAAGGGUGCAAACGUUGCUCGGAAUUAUUGGGCGUAAAGAGCGUGUAGGCGGCUCGGUAAGUCCGCUCUGAAAGCCCGGGGCUCAACCCCGGGAGGCGGGCGGAUACUGUCGAGCUAGAGUCCGGAAGAGGCGAGUGGAAUUCCUGGUGUAGCGGUGAAAUGCGCAGAUAUCAGGAGGAACACCAAUGGCGAAGGCAGCUCGCUGGGACGGUACUGACGCUGAGACGCGAAAGCGUGGGGAGCAAACAGG
This 253-nucleotide ribosomal RNA is filed under the name uncultured bacterium. Its description in RNAcentral is "partial 16S ribosomal RNA". It matches the Rfam family "Bacterial small subunit ribosomal RNA", at positions 524 to 776 of the family's 1533-position model. The record is from RNAcentral.